This 462-nucleotide ribosomal RNA is filed under the name uncultured bacterium. RNAcentral's name for it is "bacterial SSU rRNA". It matches the Rfam family "Bacterial small subunit ribosomal RNA", at positions 29 to 507 of the family's 1533-position model. The record is from RNAcentral.
AUUGAACGCUGGCGGCAUGCCUUACACAUGCAAGUCGAACGGUAACAGGCCGCAAGGUGCUGACGAGUGGCGGACGGGUGAGUAAGGCGUAGGAAUCUGCCCACGAGAGGGGGACAACCUGGGGAAACUCAGGCUAAUACCGCAUACGCUCGCGAGAGGAAAGCGGGGGACCUACGGGCCUCGCGCUGGUGGAAGAGCCUACGUCCGAUUAGCUAGUUGGCAGGGUAAAAGCCUACCAAGGCGACGAUCGGUAGCUGGUCUGAGAGGAUGAUCAGCCACACUGGGACUGAGACACGGCCCAGACUCCUACGGGAGGCAGCAGUGGGGAAUAUUGCACAAUGGGCGCAAGCCUGAUGCAGCAACGCCGCGUGAGGGAUGACGGCCUUCGGGUUGUAAACCUCUUUUAGUAGGGAAGAAGCGAAAGUGACGGUACCUGCAGAAAAAGCACCGGCUAACUACGUG